UGGAGGAACAACCACAGUGGCGGUGGCCAGCUCUGGAGCCCUGGAUUCAGCUCCACCAGUAACUGGAGCUCUCAGUUUGCAGGGGCCUGGAGGCUCCGGGGCGGG
RNAcentral lists this microRNA precursor (105 nucleotides) under Canis lupus familiaris (dog). Its description in RNAcentral is "mir-8834 microRNA precursor family". It matches the Rfam family "mir-8834 microRNA precursor family". Lineage: Eukaryota; Metazoa; Chordata; Mammalia; Carnivora; Canidae. RNAcentral also lists the same sequence under 1 other name. The record is from Rfam by way of RNAcentral.